AAAAAAAGGGAAAAUUGCCAAAACGGAACAAAAAUUCAGCCUCUUUGUCCCUUUGGUAUAAUACCAACAUAAAGUUGUCCCUAUAGUAUAAUAUUUUUCGUAAUCCCGAAUUUAACCCUUGUUUUAAUCAAAUAAAUUAGUUUAUAAUUAUAUUUUAUAUUUUAAAUUAACCUAAACAAAAAAAACAGAAUAUUAAAAAAGGUAAUAAACCAAAAACCCUAAAUUAAACUAAACAUGAUCCCCUACUCCGUCUCUCUCUCUCACGGCAAUCCCGACUCCCUCUUUCUCACAACAAGAAGGCGACACAAAGGCGAUUUGUCUCUUCCCUCCGCCAAGACAACGGAUACCAGAGACAAUUAAACCUCCUCCAUCUCUCUCUCAUGACAAGAAGGCGACACAAAGUUAACGAUUAUGUGAACCGAUUGAAGGAAAUUCUUGGUAUGGUACCACCUGCUUGUUGUAUGGAGCUUCCUUACUUCCAUGGUAAAGUGUUCUUUCUUAAGUCUGAUAUUGGUUGAAUUUUUGUUUAUAGGUUUCUGCUUGAAUAUGUGCUUCGCUUUGUUGUAUCUUUUGUCCUUCUUAUUUUUUUUGUUUUUUUGGUUUCUGGGAAUCUUUUAGGCUGCUGAGCUUGGAGAUAUAAUAGGUUCAGGGAGGAUAUCUAACAGGUUGUUACCCAUGUAUUUGGCUUGCAUGGGUUUUGGGAUUGUGGCGUUGCUUCGUGGUCUGGUUUCUCAUUCGACCAAAAGAUCCCCUGUUUUGGCCAGGAGAAAGCGUGCAUGAGGGUUUAAGCUUUAUCUCAGUUCUUUAUCACCUUGUAUAAAUGUUUUAGAGUUCUCUCAGGAACAGUUGAUGUUAGUGUAAUAGUGUUUACUUGGUUGGAAUAAAAUCCAUGCUUGGAACUUCUGC
Molecule: long non-coding RNA, 906 nt
Organism: Brassica rapa (field mustard)
Lineage: Eukaryota; Viridiplantae; Streptophyta; Magnoliopsida; Brassicales; Brassicaceae
Source: RefSeq, a predicted model, not a curated record